CAGCGGCGGCGAUUGGAGGAGGCGGCUGCUCGUCGAGUGGCGGGGUUCGCGGGCUAGGGUGUAACCGGGAAGGUGCUCGCGGCUGGAAGUCAGGGCAGCGGGUUGCGGGUUGCGGGAGGUGACUGCGGUCUCCCGGCCAGGCUGGCGGCUGCGGGAUCGGGACCCGCGUUCGAGUCUCCUACACCGGGGCUGUGCUUGCUGGCUCCCUUCUCGAUCUUCAGCCUGGGCGUCCCAUCGGCAGACCUGUGCGCGCCCGUGGUUCUUGGACCCCGGGCCCAGUUCUUUGGAGGACCAUGUCAUUGGAGUUUGGCAGUGUAGCACUGCAGACACAAAAUGAAGAUGAAGAAUUUGACAAAGAAGACUUUGAAAGGGAAAAAGAGUUGCAGCAGCUACUCACAGACCUCCCUCACGACAUGCUGGACGAUGAGCUCUCCUCUCCUGAGCGCCACGAUUCUGACUGCAGUAUGGACGGCAGAGCGGCAGAACCGCAUCCUUCUGAGCAUCUGGAAAGGAAGUGGAUUGAGCGGGAUAUACUGCCCAAGCCUCACAGCAUGAACUGUGGCAAUGGCUGGGAAGAAAAUCGAAGUAAAACCGAAGACCAGCAUCUUGGGUACCACCCUGGAGAAGGUGGGGAUGAAGGCGGAAGUGGCUAUAGCCCUCCAGGUAAACGGGAGCAGGCAGAUUUGUAUCGCCUUCCUGAAGACUUUAGGCCAUACACCGGCGGUUCGAAGCAGGCAGCCAGCGUGAUUACGUUUUCAGAUCCUCAGAGGGACAAUUUUCAGCAAUUUGGUUUAUCUCGAGGACCCAGCUGUGGAGCUUUGGAGCCGUAUAAAGCUGUAUAUAAGCCUUACCGUAACUCCUCUGUGCAGAAGAACAGCUCGCCAGCCCAGGAGGUAGCAGCAAGUGACAUGUUUGAAGGCUUGCAGCAACAGUUUUUAGGAGCUAAUGAAACAGACUCUGCAGAAAAUAUACAUAUUAUUCAACUCCAGGUUCUUAACAAAGCAAAGGAGAGACAACUGGACAGCUUGGUUGAAAAGCUGAAGGACAGCGAACGCCAGGUUCGGUAUCUGAGCCACCAGCUGCUGAUAGUCCAAGAUGAAAAGGAUGGCUUGGCCCUCAGCCUUCGGGAAUCCCAGCAGCUCUUUCAGAAUGGCAAGGAGAGGGAGAUGCAGCUUGAAGCUCAGAUUGCAGCACUGGAGGCGCAGGUCGAGGCCUUCCGAGUUAGUGAAGAGAAGCUCACCAAGAAGCUCAGAACAACCGAGAUCACCCUGGAAAGCCUGAAACAGCAACUGGUGGAGCUCCAUCAUUCUGAGUCACUUCAGCGAGCCAGAGAGCACCAUGAAAGCAUCGUUGCCAGCCUCACACAGAAGCACGAAGAGCAGGUGUCAUCCUUACAGAAGAAUUUGGACGCUACCAUAACGGCCCUUCAGGAACAGGAAAGUAUUUGCACGCGUUUGAAGGACCACGUGCAACAACUGGAGCGGAACCAGGAAGCAGUCAGAUUAGAGAAGACGGAGCUCAUUAAUAGGCUGACGAGGAGUCUAGAGGACAGUCAGAAGCAAUGUGCCCACCUGCUGCAAUCAGGCUCUGUGCAGGAGGUGGCUCAGCUACAGCUACAGUUGCAGCAAGCACAGAAGGCCCACGUCCUAAGUGAGAGCAUGAAUAAGGCUUUGCAAGAGGAAUUAACAGAGCUUAAAGAUGAGAUUUCGCUCUAUGAAUCUGCUGCAGAACUCGGAGUCCUUCCAGGUGACUCCGAAGGAGACCUGAGUAUAGAGCUCACUGAAUCAUGUGUGGACUUGGGCAUUAAAAAAGUCAAUUGGAAACAAUCCAAAGCUAACAGGGUCACACAGCAGGAGUCCCCAGAUGAAGACCCUUCGAAGGAUGAGCUUAUCCUGAAGCUGAAAACGCAAGUCCAGCGCUUGCUGACUAGCAACUCCGUGAAGCGACAUCUGGUGUCUCAGCUGCAGAGCGAUCUCAGAGAGUGCCGGGAGACAAUGGAAGCUUUCCAGCAAUCCAAGGAUGGUGACAGCGGCAUGGAGACUAAAACAGACACCUCUGAAAAAACAACUAAGCAGUUAUGGCUCGAAUCUUCUGAGGCAAUUAACAGAGAAGAUAUUCUGCAACUGAAAAAUGAAGUUCAAGUUUUACAAAAACAGAAUCAGGAACUGAAAGAGGCUGAAGAAAAACUGAGAAGUACAAAUCAAGACUUGUGUAAUCAGAUGAGACAGAUGGUGCAGGAGUUUGACCACGAUAAGCAGGAAGCUGUGGCUAGGUGUGAGAGGACUUACCAGCAGCACCACGAAGCCAUGAAGGCGCAGAUCCGAGAGAGCCUUCUAGCAAAGCACGCUGUGGAGAAGCAGCAUCUCUUGGAGGUCUAUGAGGGGACCCAGUCACAGCUCAGGUCUGACCUGGAUAAGAUGAACAAGGAGAUGGCUGCUGUGCAGGAGUGUUACCUGGAGGUAUGCAGAGAGAAGGAUGGGCUGGAGUCCACUCUCAGGAAGACCAUGGAAAAGGCUCAGGAGCAGAAGAGACAGCUUUUGGAAGCCAGAGAAGAAUACGUGCGCAAGCUGAAGUUAGAACUGGAAGAGAAGUACCAAGAAACUCUGAAGACGGAAAGGCAGAGCUGGCUGCAGGAGCAAGCUGCUGGAGCUACACAGCAGGCUGAGAAGGAGAGCAGACAAAAACUCAUUCAACAGCUGGAAAAGGAGUGGCAGUCCAAACUGGAUGACAGUCUUGCGGCUUGGAGAAAGACCACCUCAGACCGCGGCAGCCAGACCGAGCAGGUGGCCUGUCCUGCUGCCGUGUCUAAGGCAGAGGCAGCAGCAGUCCUGGCAGAGGAGCAGGCUCGCCAAGUCCAGCAGGAGAAGGAGCUUGCUACCAAGGAGGCUCUGAGGAAGCCCGAAGUUGAGUUGGAGCUCAAGUACUGUGAGAUUAUUGCACAAAAGGUGGAAACAGCUGUGCAGAAUGCCCGAAGUCGCUGGAUACAGGAGCUGCCCAUGCUUGCAGAGUACAAGGCUCUGCUCAGAGCCCAGCAGCAGGAGUGGGCAAAGCAGCAGGAGCUGGCUGUGGCCCAUAGGCUGUCACUCGCACUCUCUGAAGCUAAAGAGAAGUGGAAAAGUGAGCUGGAAAAUAUGAAGCCAAAUGUCAUGUCUGUCAAGGAGCUGGAGGAGAAAGUCCACUCUCUGCAGAAGGAGCUGGAGUUGAAGGAUGAGGAAGUCCCAGUGAUUGUCAGAGCUGAGGUGGCUAAGGCCAGAACUGAGUGGAACAAAGAAAAACAGGAAGAAAUCCACAAGAUUCAAGAACAAAACGAGGAGGAUUAUCGGCAGUUUUUAGAGGAUCAUCGAAAUAAAAUUAAUGAGGUGCUUGCAGCAGCUAAAGAGGACUUUGUGAAGCAAAAAGCUGAACUACUUCUUCAGAAGGAGACAGAAUUCCAGGCAUGUUUGGACCAGAGUCGCAAGGAGUGGACACUGCAGGAAGCCCAGCAGACACAAGUGGAAAUCCGUCAGUAUGAGGAAGACACCCUCACUGUACUUGCCUAUCUUCUAAAGGACACGCAGCUGGAGUACGGUGGGGACUCACAGGACAAGCAGCUUUUGGAAGCCAUGUCAGCUUGUUCUUCCAAAUGGAUAUCUGUACAGUACUUUGAGAAAGUAAAAGCCUGCAUACAAAAAGCUCUUCACGAUAUGCUGUCCUUGCUUACAGACAGUGUCGCCUCAGAGCAGGAGAAGCUAUUUCCCCAGGCAUUAAGUAUGAAGACAAUUUAUUUCAGAGAAAGGUGGUCAAGAGCUCUGCAGACACUGUCAGCUGGACCAGUAGCGAAGGAGACUCUGCGGUCCCAGUGCCCCUUCCUGACUCCACCUCUGUACGCUGUGCUCAGUCCUCGGCCUGGCUGAAAGCAGAAGCAGAAACUGAUAAAAAGAUCUGUGAAAUUAAAGGUUUACGCUGUGGACACUGCUUUCAAGAGCUUGAAAAGGAAAAGCAGGAGUGUCAAGAUCUGAGAAGGAAACUGGAGAAGUGCCGUAGGCACCUUCAGCAUUUAGAAAGGACACACAGAGCCGCAGUGGAGAAACUUGGAGAGGAGAACAGCAGGGUGGUUGAAGAAUUAAUAGAGGAGAACCAUGACAUGAAGAAUAAACUGGAGGCACUGAGGGCCCUUUGCAGAACGCCACCACGGUCACUGUCUGCAGGAGCCGCUGAGAGUGCUGGGCCGUCAUGCAGUAGGCAGGCCUUGGAAGAACUCCGCGGGCAGUACAUUAAAGCUGUGAGAAAAAUUAAACGUGACAUGCUUCGGUAUAUUCAGGAGAGCAAGGAAAGAGCUGCAGAGAUGGUAAAAGCGGAAGUGUUGCGGGAACGGCAGGAAACUGCACGGAAGAUGCGCAAUUAUUACCUGAGUUGUCUUCAGCAGAUCUUGCAGGAUAAUGGAAAAGAGGAGGGAGCUGAGAAAAAGAUUAUGAGUGCUGCUAGCAAACUCGCUACAAUGGCGGAGUUGCUGGGGACGAUCGCGGAGUCAGACUGCAGAGUCCGGUGUGCCCAGGCAGGCCGCUCAGUAGCACUUCCUUUGGCUUCAGAGAUGCUGACGGGCACUGAAAGAUCAGAAAGGAGUGGUGUGAAUCACAAUAUUCCACAUUACGUUGAAAGCAAACCAAACAGUGGAAAGACCCUCCCCAGGAGUGUGUGUGAGCAGCUGCCUGGGAGGAAGGCUGCGCCCAGGUCACAGAGGCGGUUAGAGGAAUCGAAGCACAGAGAGAUGAGACCCAUGGCUUCCACAGCUUUGCCUUCAGACUGUCGCUGUGGGGAUGCGAGUUGCAGGCACUCAGGCGUCUUGGCAAAGGAUGUUGCUCCUGAAUUUGUUCCGUGCCAGGGCGAGGGAGGCUUUGACUUGCACGAGAAGAGAGAUGCACUUGGAGCUGGCUCUGAGCCGCUGCUCUAUUCAGCUGCUCACUCCUUCCUUGGAGGUGCCGAAAAGAACUCUUCUCCUAGAUGCAUCUCAGAGUCCAGGCACACAACCCUGAGAAGUCCCAGUGAAAUGCCAAGGUUAAAGGCAUUGAUGUGUGGUUCUCCUACAGAAACUGACAGUAUUGCAUCUGAGAAGAGUCAGGGAGUGGGCUCUCAGGACUCCCCAGUGAAGGAUGGCGUGGGGCCCAGCAGCUCUCCAGCCUGGCCUUCUGACAGUACCUUACCCUGUGGCAGUCCUGCAGUGCUGUUUCUUGGGGAUGGGUCACAAAGGACUCAGGAGAUGCUGGGGGACUCUGUUCAGUGGAAACAAUUCUCAGCAACCAGUUGUCAUCCAGAUGCCCAGAAAAGUAAUAUGGUUUGUCGGAGUAGUCACACUCUAGAUCUGCCCAAAGAAACCCUGCAUUCCCAACAAGGGAAGAUGGGUGCAACUCUGGGACACCCAUCUCCACAGAGCACUGAUAUGUUAAAGACAGAUUUCAAGAGACUCAGUGGCACAGGACCAUCUUCAUUGUGUCAGAAGCCUUUGAUAAAGUUAACUGCUCCGAUGCCCAGCCAACAGGAUAGUGGCUUUGACAGCCCGCUUGAGUAAUUAUUUGCCUUAUUUCAGAAUAGUCAUUAAUUACUAUUUAAACAGGAAACUGGAUGGUAAUACUUGAUGCUAACAAACCAUUGUGAGGUCUUCCUGCCAGUUCUCAUGUUUUUGAUACCCUUGUAUCUGAGUAAAGUAUUCUCAGUUACUUGAGGCACUUGCGCUGCCUUAAUGUUGGAGGCCUAAGUGAUGUGCUGUGUGCUCUGCUUCUGUGUGCUGCUUCAUUCAGUUACUCAGCCCUCUACCUUUAUAUUUAUAUGCUGACUUAUUUUGGAGUGUUAAAAUAUUUAAUAAAAUUGUGCAUAAUCCGAA
This is an RNA transcript of Mus musculus (house mouse), 5857 nucleotides long. It is a transcript of the gene named centrosomal protein 152, with no coding region annotated. The transcript has 28 exons. The record is from RefSeq and is marked validated. Lineage: Eukaryota; Metazoa; Chordata; Mammalia; Rodentia; Muridae.